Molecule: ribosomal RNA, 381 nt
Filed under: uncultured eukaryote
Lineage: Eukaryota
Description: partial 18S ribosomal RNA
Rfam family: Eukaryotic small subunit ribosomal RNA
Source: RNAcentral
CAAUAGCGUAUAUUAAAGUUGUUGCGGUCAAAAAGCUCGUAGUUGGAUUUCUACCGAAGAUAGCCGGUCGGGUCUUCGGCCUUGUAUCUGGUUUUGUCUUUGGUAUCCUCAUAGGGAACGUUUCUGCGCUUUAUUGCGUGGUGCGGUAUCUAUGACUUUUACUUUGAGGAAAUUAGAGUGUUCACGGCAGGCAAACGCCUUGAAUAUAUUAGCAUGGAAUAAUAACAUAGGAUCUUCGUCCUAUUUUGUUGGUUUCCAGGGCUAAGAUAAUGAUUAAUAGGGAUAAUUGGGGGCAUCUGUAUCAACGCGUCAGAGGUGGAAUUCUUGGAUUGCGUUGCGACAAACUACUGCGAAAGCAUUUGCCAAGGAUGUUUUCAUUGA